Molecule: ribosomal RNA, 235 nt
Filed under: uncultured bacterium
Lineage: Bacteria
Description: partial 16S ribosomal RNA
Rfam family: Bacterial small subunit ribosomal RNA
Source: RNAcentral
CGGCACGGGUGAGUAACACGUAUCCAACCUGCCGUCUACUCUUGGACAGCCUUCUGAAAGGAAGAUUAAUACAAGAUGGCAUCAUGAGUCCGCAUGUUCACAUGAUUAAAGGUAUUCCGGUAGACGAUGGGGAUGCGUUCCAUUAGAUAGUAGGCGGGGUAACGGCCCACCUAGUCUUCGAUGGAUAGGGGUUCUGAGAGGAAGGUCCCCCACAUUGGACUGAGACACGGCCCAA